RNAcentral lists this unclassified non-coding RNA (269 nucleotides) under Hevea brasiliensis (rubber tree). Lineage: Eukaryota; Viridiplantae; Streptophyta; Magnoliopsida; Malpighiales; Euphorbiaceae. The record is from RNAcentral.
GAAACUCUUUAUCUUAUAAAUUUUAGUAUUAAUCCAAAACAUUAUCUAAAUUAAAUGUCGGUCCAAAACUACCAUUCUUAAAAAUAAUUAAUUAAUUAAUUAAAUUCAUUCAUUAUCCUUUCCAAUUUUAAUAUUAAAUAACAGUUGGGUCCCAUUUUAGACCAACUAACAUAACCAUAAAUUAGAAACUGACACCUUUCACAUCCAUGUGCCCAUGCAUAGCGACGCGCAUUUGAUACUUAUGGACCCCAUCCCCUCGAGAACGAGAC